UCCCCUGUAGCUCAACGGUUAGAGCGGUUGGCACCGGAAGGUGGCCGUACAGAUGCCGGUUCAACUCCGGCCAGGGGAA
Molecule: transfer RNA, 79 nt
Filed under: Rhodococcus (subgen. Prescottella) equi
Lineage: Bacteria; Bacillati; Actinomycetota; Actinomycetes; Mycobacteriales; Nocardiaceae
Description: Prescottella equi tRNA-OTHER
Rfam family: tRNA
About the family: Transfer RNA (tRNA) molecules are approximately 80 nucleotides in length. Their secondary structure includes four short double-helical elements and three loops (D, anti-codon, and T loops).
Source: RNAcentral